This 24-nucleotide non-coding RNA is filed under the name Arabidopsis thaliana (thale cress). The record is from RNAcentral. Lineage: Eukaryota; Viridiplantae; Streptophyta; Magnoliopsida; Brassicales; Brassicaceae.
AGCUUCGGCAUAUAUUGUGUCCAA